RNAcentral lists this ribosomal RNA (253 nucleotides) under uncultured bacterium. RNAcentral's name for it is "partial 16S ribosomal RNA". It matches the Rfam family "Bacterial small subunit ribosomal RNA", at positions 524 to 776 of the family's 1533-position model. The record is from RNAcentral.
UACGGGGGGGGCAAGCGUUGUUCGGAAUUACUGGGCGUAAAGGGCUCGUAGGCGGCCAACUAAGUCAGACGUGAAAUCCCCAGGCUUAACCUGGGAACUGCGUCUGAUACUGGAUGGCUUGAAUUCGGGAGAGGGAUGCGGAAUUCCAGGUGUAGCGGUGAAAUGCGUAGAUAUCUGGAGGAAUGCCGGUGGCGAAGGCGGCAUCCUGGACCGAGAUUGACACUGAUGAGCGAAAGCCAGGGGAGCAAACGGG